UUUAAGUGCAACCAUAAGUUUUCACGCCUAACUUUUGAUUAUCUAUCUUAUUUAAUUUUUUUUUAUAAUUAGUAUUUUUGUUGUUAUGAGAUGAUAAAACAUGAAUAUACUUUAUUCGUGACUUAUGUUUUUAUUUUUUUCAAAAAAAUUUUAAAUAAGACGGACGGUUAAAGUUGGGCGCGGAAAAUCAUGGUUGCACUUAAA
Non-coding RNA from Oryza meridionalis, 204 nucleotides. NCBI's taxonomy places the organism in Eukaryota, Viridiplantae, Streptophyta, Magnoliopsida, Poales, Poaceae. The record is from Rfam.